GGAUGCGAUCAUACCAGCAUUGAAGCAGCGGAUCCCAUUAAAACUCCGAAGUUAAUCGUGCUUGGGGGAGAGUAGUACUAGGAUGGGGGAGAGUAGUACUAGGACGGGUGACCUCCUGGGAAGUCCUCGUGUUGCAUUCC
RNAcentral lists this ribosomal RNA (140 nucleotides) under Triticum dicoccoides. The record is from RNAcentral. Lineage: Eukaryota; Viridiplantae; Streptophyta; Magnoliopsida; Poales; Poaceae.